Long non-coding RNA from Notothenia coriiceps (black rockcod), 2561 nucleotides. RefSeq lists it as uncharacterized. NCBI's taxonomy places the organism in Eukaryota, Metazoa, Chordata, Actinopteri, Perciformes, Nototheniidae. The record is from RefSeq and is a predicted model, not a curated record. The transcript is spliced from 2 exons.
GGCCACAUAAAAUCAAGUCGCGGGCCGGACCUUGAGUUUGAGACCCCUGCACUAGUGGGUGGUCUUUUCCCUUCAAUUCUUUCUAAAUGGAUAUAAAUGUAACUAAUUGUGUUAAACAAGCAUAAGGAUGUUAUAUAAUCAUAUCAAAUGCAGGACAAACUGUAUGGCAGCCUGCGAUAACAGCACGUAUUGUAUCGUUGUCCAAAGAAUCUAUAUAUUGUACUUUAUUGAGCUCAGGGUGUAAUUGGCUUUUGUUGCAGUAUUGAAUUUCAUCAGUGUGUGGUUAAUGAUGAUUCUUUGAUUUGUUCAGGUGUUAAUUCACAGGCUGUCUGCUAUUUUUUUAAUUCAUGAACAAUUUCUUGAUUAUUGGGUGUUCAACAAGCUUAACACACUUUAUGUUUGUGCUGGCAGGUGUUCGAUGAGUUGGAAGAGAUUGGUAAAACCAUCCAGGAGGAUGUUUUAGAUGCUGGCAUGCCCGUCCAUGGAGCAAUGGGCGGAGACAUCAGCAAAUGUCCCUACUAUUCGGCCAAAAUGGCGGCGGCGGGCGGAUCAGAAUACGCCUGUCAGCUCGCCAUGGCCGUACUGCGACACCCGACGGGACAGGUCCUGUGCGCUGCUCUUGCUGCUGCUCUGGCGGGAUUUGCUGCCUGGUAUCUGAUGUGAUGCUGCCGUCACCGUGCUGCUGGGAGAACAACGAGAAAAAAGGGAGGACAGUAAGGGGAAUAAAAAAAUCCCUCAGGUUGUUGACCAUUUCCUAGUUUCUUACAAACAUUCUGAACGGGUCCAGGCUUAUUUAAUGUUACUUAAAGGAAUUGGAUCUGUUCCUUGGAAUUCUGAUAUAAUGACCAUAAAUAUCCAUCUCCAUCCAUCCAUCAAGCUACGACUUGUGAAAAUGUAUCCUCUAUUCUUUUAAAUGUGCUACCUCCUCUGAACUGUCCCUCCAACGAGUUUUGUCCUAUCUGUAGAUAUUCUGAAGCUCCUUUCUCCUUUUGUCAUGGAAGCACACUAAUAUUGAUUUGUCCCCAAUUUUAAAUGAAACUGCCAGAUGUAAAAAAUAUAUAUUUUAGAUACUGCCCCUUAAAUUGGCUCUAUAGUGAUUAAUGAGUUAGUAAUGAUGAAGAGAUUAUCCAAAGUUCUCAUGGCGAGCGUAGAGGAAACAUGUCACAACAUACUAUGCACAUGUUAUGAAUGAGUUUAAUGGCUCAGUGUGGUCUUGCUGGGCAGACUGCUGUGGUGGUUUUGAAUGAGAUCUUUGUGUUGGUGCAAUAAAAGAUCUCAAAUUGUACUUCCCGACAUGAAUUGAAGUUCCAAAGACAAUGUGAAACGCAGUGCAUCGCACUGUUGUUAUUCUUUCUUUUUAAUUCAUCUAAUUAUCCAAAAAUGGCCUCCAAUGUUUCUACAAGUUUACCUAAUUCUUAAAAGAAUAGCACAACUUUGACAAGCUUAUGAUUGGACACGAGUGAAUACACCUGAAAAUGGACUCUACUAAUGCAUGUUCAAAUCAUCUUGUAUUUAUAAACAAAAACUGCCUGAUGUUUGUUUGAAUGCAUCGCUUAACUGUUCAAGAUGAAGUAUUAAUCGAUGAUUCAGUUUGACCUGCCACGGAAGCUUAAAUCAUAGGAAAGGUGAAUAUGAUAAUGGUUAAGUCUGAAGGCUAAAGAUGUUAAGGUUUAUUAUGAACUACAGGAACUGCAGGUUAGGUCCUUCAGCUGCUCACCUGUUGUGUAAGCAUCCAUUUGUUAUGGAUACGCCAGUAUGCAUCAUCACUAAAACAAAGUCACAUUUUGUUUGUGCUCUAUUUUUUUGGAACACCAUUCCAAGUAAUGCUCAUUGCAACAUGGAUAAGGAGGAACAUAUUGUGCUUUGUGUACUGUAUGCAGUGUUAUUGCACUGUUCUGCAAUUGAAGUUGACUAAUUAUCCUGACACAUUAAUGACAUUUUAUUAACUUGGCAUCAUCUUCCAAGCUGUUUGUUCUUUUCGUAGUUUAAAGAUGUUUGACGCACAGUGUCAACGGAAACCUGCUUAAAACAAAAUGUCUACCAGGUUCCUGUGUGUGUGUGUGUGUUUGCACAUGAUGUACAGUAUGGUGUACAGUAUUCUUUAACUAGCAGUCAUUCAGAUUUGACCUGGCAUGUAUCCCAAGUGAUAGUGUUUUUUAUCUGAGCGUCUCAGGUUCAUGUUGUAGUCAGGUGGAAAUACAAUGCAUUUCCUUUGGACUGUUAUACUCCUGUAGUUCAUGGUCCAUGUUUUAUUUAAUUACAUUUUUGCCAGUGUCAAAAUGCUUCAGUAUCUUUGGGCGAACUUAGGGAAGGCUUACUUGAAUCUCAGAAGUGCAGUUGUUUUGGUCAUUGUUAAACCUUAGAUAUAGAAGAUGGGAUGCUUGACUAAUUCAUGUUGAUUUAGAUUUCUCUUGCAUUUCAAUAACUCUGCUCCUAAUCACUUUGUGUAUCUAAACGCUUUAUAGUGUUUGACACCCCAUGGCUGUUGAAUGAAAUACAUUCUGUUUUCCUGCUCAAGCUGAAAUAAAGGUGAUCCAUUUGGACUGGUUUAUUUAUUAAAA